RNAcentral lists this ribosomal RNA (224 nucleotides) under Prunus dulcis (almond). Its description in RNAcentral is "rRNA SSU_rRNA_archaea". It matches the Rfam family "Bacterial small subunit ribosomal RNA", at positions 553 to 777 of the family's 1533-position model. Lineage: Eukaryota; Viridiplantae; Streptophyta; Magnoliopsida; Rosales; Rosaceae. The record is from RNAcentral.
AUUGGGCGUAAAGCGUCUAUAGGUGGCUUUUUAAGUCUGCCAUCAAAUCCCAGGGCUCAACCCUGGACAGGAGGUGGAAACUACCAAGCUGGAGUACGGUAGGGCAGAGGGAAUUUCCGGUGGAGCGGUGAAAUGCGUAGAGAUCGGAAAGAACACCAACUGCGAAAGCACUCUGUUGGGCCGACAAUGACACUGAGAGACGAAAGCUAGCGAAGCACGUGGCC